CACGGCCUCACCCCAUUUCCCCCUGUGAAAUGCGGGUGCGGUGCCAUGGUCGUGCCGCAGAAGGGGCUGCUUGUGCUCCGAGCUGGGGGAUGUGAAAAGAGGAGCCAUAGUAACAUCAUAUUUCAUUGCUGAAAGCUGCAGCACCCAAAGGCACCGGCAUCGCAAAGGGACAUCCAUUGGUCCUGCUCCACUCCUGCCUGCAGAAACGAGGAUUUUCGGAAUGCACAUCCAACAAAACACCUGACCAUCCCAAAGCACCUGAACGUUGAUGCAGAUCCACCCCUUUUGGACAUGGGCCAUGAAGGGACUGGAAAUCUGAGCAAUCUGAGCGCUGUCGAUCACGGCAGGGCUCGCUGAGGACACCGUGCUGCCGUCCCUUGGCAGCCACCUUCUCCCUGGGGUCCCAUGAAAACCCCCGGCAGCCCGGGGUGCUAAGUCACUGAGAAACGUGUACCGAGGGAAGCAGCGAGCCAUGCAAAUGCCGUUACGUUUUACAACCACCAGGCAGCUUCCUUGCCCGUCAGGCCUUGCAGAAUUGCAUUUCGCUCUUGUUGCUCCCUUCCAAACCGCCUCUGGCAGUGCUGGCAGGGGAAAGGGCUCAAAACGUGUCCUGCUACUCAUCCACCUCUCCUUGGGCUGAAAGUAAACCCAGACAGACCAUGCCGGAGUACAAACAUGCCAUGCAGAAGAGUAGGUGGCCGCUCAGCUCCCAGGAAAGCCACGAUUGCUUCCCUCUGCUCUGAAAACCUCAACUGCACAGAAGCGUGGCUUUCAUCUUUCAGGCCCUGGAAUCACCCUUCUUUUAAUACAAGAUCAAUUUGAUUUUGCAAGCUGCACUGGUCAGUCCUGUAGAUCCCCAGCACAGCUCACAAAGGUUCCCAACAAUCUGAGUAAACCUGCCUUAAAUUACUUUUGCGGCCUGAGAGGUUCUUUCAUCACAAACAACUGCAGGAACUUCCCAGUCACUCGCAAACAGAAAACGGACCCCUUUUCACUGCAUAGCUGAUUUGUUACAAACUGCUCAGCAUUUGGCUGUUAAUCCCAGCUGCUAGGUCAUCCAAGAUAAGUUUGUCUUCCCAUAGCUGUUGCAUUUCUGCAUUUCUUAAAGAAAUUGCAAGACCAGUCACUGACAAUCAUCAGUGACAAACACUGCAAUGCUACUGUCCUCUAAAUUUCUCUUGUCAGCUGGAGCUGGGCUGUGUUUAGAUGCCCUAAGAAAUACCACUCCCAGAAAAUAACUUAAUUAUUGAACUAUUUUCUGUGGUUUGGGUGGUGGGGCUGCUCAUGGCUGUAUUUCUCUGCUGCUGCUGUCUGUUCACGCUUGCUCUCCAGCCCCCAGCUGCUGGUACAGCACGGACAGCAGUACAACAGCAUCUUCAAGUACAUCCACGCUGCGGUGGGGACUGAGCGCAACAGGUUUUACUCCACCUGGUCUAUACUGCAGCACUGGGGUGCGGUGAGCCCUUCUCACCUCAUCUAGGGAUUUUUCAUCCCGGUACCCAAGGCCAGCAGCUGUUUCAUAACUGUACUUCUUGUGCCGUGCCACCAUCUAGUGGUAACUCAACUAGAAACUCUGCAUCCACAGAGUCAAAGCAGCAUCAGUGGAUCCUCCAGCGUCCGUUGGCCAGGACACCAAGCUCUGCUCGGGGUAACGCGGAUGCAAAAUGCCAUUUAAGCGUGUAAGGCUGGUGGGAACGUGCUGCAGCUGAAGCAUAAAACCAGCAGAUAACCAUGAUGAGGUUUCUCCCAUGUGUCAUCCUGCUCUGCUUCUCACUAGGCUGCUCAGAGCCAACGGUGGGAUUCCCCGGCUCUGCUCCUUUCUGCAGACCACCUGCACUCGUGUAUGUAUGUGUGUACGUGUGACUAUGUCUGUCAGGCUCCCAGAUGGGCACCAGUUAUAGCCCAGGUCUGAAGAACAGAUGCAAAGAGGCUGAAAAGCUGCUGUAGGCCAGGAGAGGAUGAGAUGGGCUCCU
This is a long non-coding RNA of Columba livia (rock pigeon), 1973 nucleotides long. RefSeq lists it as uncharacterized. The transcript has 4 exons. Lineage: Eukaryota; Metazoa; Chordata; Aves; Columbiformes; Columbidae. The record is from RefSeq and is a predicted model, not a curated record.